RNAcentral lists this small RNA (548 nucleotides) under Drosophila pseudoobscura pseudoobscura. RNAcentral's name for it is "GA31182". The record is from RNAcentral. Lineage: Eukaryota; Metazoa; Arthropoda; Insecta; Diptera; Drosophilidae.
UUUGAGAGACUGCCAGUUUUGUUCGCAUUGUCGAACACAACACUAAACAAAUCACAUCAGAAAAAUUCAGAAAAAAAAGAAAAAAACAAUUUUCAAAUUUCAAUGGUCGAAAUUUGGAGGCCUUACCAGUGACGCUGGCCCAUACGAUGGCCGUGACGUCACUCCAACUUCAAGAAUUCAGCAGCCAUCUCCAACGAUGAGGCCAGCCGCUACAACGACACUGGCCAACGAGCCAAAGCCAAUACCAUCGACAAUGCAUCCUGGGUGGCCGGACCAACAGCCACUCGGAUGCAGCCAAUUCCAAUUAAUAGGAAACCUAAAGGAAACCUACUUAAAUUAUAAUGACUUAAUGGUUCUGCUAAAUCUGCCUUUCCGUCUCUACGACCGUGGCAGACGAGCGUAAUGGAAACGGAAGGAGGACGAAGGACGAAGCCGCAUAGAAGAAACGCCUGAGCCAUUGUUUCUUUUAUUAUUUUUUUUCCACAUUUUGCUUUUUUAAAAAAAAUCCACUUUGUUCUUAAUCUCCAGUAAAAAGAAUUCCGAAAUAA